This 371-nucleotide ribosomal RNA is filed under the name uncultured organism. RNAcentral describes it as "partial 16S ribosomal RNA". It matches the Rfam family "Bacterial small subunit ribosomal RNA", at positions 527 to 896 of the family's 1533-position model. The record is from RNAcentral.
AGAGGGUGCAAGCGUUAAUCGGAAUGACUGGGCGUAAAGGGCGUGUAGGUGGAUGUUUAAGUUAGAUGUGAAAUCCCUGGGCUUAACCUAGGAACGCCAUCUAAUACUGGGCAACUAGAGUAUAGGAGAGGGAAGUGGAAUUUCCGGUGUAGCGGUGAAAUGCGUAGAUAUCGGAAGGAACACCAGUGGCGAAGGCGGCUUCCUGGCCUAAUACUGACACUGAGGCGCGAAAGCGUGGGUAGCGAACAGGGAUUAGAUACCCUGGUAGUCCACGCUGUAAACGAUGAGUACUAGACGUUGGUGAUGUAGUGUCAUUGGUGUCGAAGCAAACGCGUUAAGUACUCCGCCUGGGGAUUACGGUCGCAAGAUUA